ACUUGGAAACUAAACCUUGAUUAGUAGGAGAUAUAUUUCUGAAAAUUAAAAAGUUUGGCGGCUUUUAGAGUAAUCAGGGGAAUUUGUAUCGUUAUCGUAACUACGCGCUAUACCUUACUUAGCUUUAGCUUGUAUACCGCCGCCUAAGUAGUCUUAGCAGAGAAAAACUAUAAUUAGCUAUGGAAACGUCAGGUCAUGGUGCAGCAUAGCUAAGAUGAUUACAAAUUACAAUUUAUAUCUAAUUUGGACUUAAAAUUAAAAUUUUAACGAAAUAGGACUUGUAAGUAAUUACUAAGUUAGAAUAGAGU
This 308-nucleotide ribosomal RNA is filed under the name Tylos sp. clade B MM-2013. RNAcentral describes it as "partial 12S small subunit ribosomal RNA". The record is from RNAcentral. Lineage: Eukaryota; Metazoa; Arthropoda; Malacostraca; Isopoda; Tylidae.